Molecule: ribosomal RNA, 811 nt
Filed under: uncultured Pseudomonadota bacterium
Lineage: Bacteria; Pseudomonadati; Pseudomonadota
Description: bacterial SSU rRNA
Rfam family: Bacterial small subunit ribosomal RNA
Source: RNAcentral
CAAGUCGAACGCGAAAGUCCCGCAAGGGAUCAGUAGAGUGGCAAACGGGUGAGUAACGCGUGGGCGACCUACCUUCGAGUGGGGGAUAACCUUCCGAAAGGAGGGCUAAUACCGCAUGACAUUCCGUGUUUGGAUACACGGGUAUCAAAGCCGGGGAUCGCAAGACCUGGCGCUUGAAGAGGGGCCCGCGUCCGAUUAGCUAGUUGGUGGGGUAAUGGCUCACCAAGGCUCCGAUCGGUAUCCGGCCUGAGAGGGCGGACGGACACACUGGGACUGAGACACGGCCCAGACUCCUACGGGAGGCAGCAGUGGGGAAUUGUUCGCAAUGGGCGCAAGCCUGACGACGCAACGCCGCGUGGAGGAUGAAGACCUUCGGGUCGUAAACUCCUUUCGACCGAGAUGAAUUCCCGCCGACCUAACACGUCGGCGGGGUGACAGUAUCGAGGGAAGCAGCCCCGGCUAACUCCGUGCCAGCAGCCGCGGUAAUACGGGGGGGGCAAGCGUUGUUCGGAAUUACUGGGCGUAAAGGGUUCGUAGGUGGCCCGCUAAGUCACACGUGAAAUCCCUCAGCUUAACUGGGGAACUGCGUGUGAGACUGGCGGGCUUGAGUGCAGGAGAGGAACGCGGAAUUCCAGGUGUAGCGGUGAAAUGCGUAGAUAUCUGGAGGAACACCGGUGGCGAAGGCGGCGUUCUGGACUGUAUCUGACACUGAGGAACGAAAGCCAGGGGAGCAAACGGGAUUAGAUACCCCGGUAGUCCUGGCCCUAAACGAUGAAUGCUUGGUGUGACGGGUAUCGAUCCCUGUCGUGCC